UACAGAGGGUGCGAGCGUUAAUCGGAAUUACUGGGCGUAAAGCGCGCGUAGGCGGUUUUGUAAGUCGGGUGUGAAAUCCCCAAGCUUAACUUGGGAACUGCAUUCGAGACUGCAUAGCUAGAGUAUGGGAGAGGGAAGUGGAAUUUCAGGUGUAGCGGUGAAAUGCGUAGAUAUCUGAAGGAACAUCAGUGGCGAAGGCGGGUCUCUGGACAGUUCCUGACACUGAGGCACGAAGGCCAGGGGAGCAAACAGG
Molecule: ribosomal RNA, 253 nt
Filed under: uncultured bacterium
Lineage: Bacteria
Description: partial 16S ribosomal RNA
Rfam family: Bacterial small subunit ribosomal RNA
Source: RNAcentral